This is a long non-coding RNA of Bos taurus (domestic cattle), 2042 nucleotides long. The record is from Ensembl. Lineage: Eukaryota; Metazoa; Chordata; Mammalia; Artiodactyla; Bovidae.
AUAGGGUCGCAAAGAGACACAGCUGAAGCGACUCAGCAUGCACUCAUGCAUUUAUGUAUAGUGAAGUGCAGAGCUCUUGAGAGCACCGUCCCAUCCUGUGAGUUUGACAGAUGUCUGAUCCACAGCCCAUUCAACAAACAACGUUCUCAUUGUCCCAGAAAGAUCCCGUGUGCUCUUUCCCAGCCAGUCUCCUCCUUCAUAGGAGAGUGUGGAGGAAUGCGCUAAGUUUUAAGGUCUCCUGGUUUGUUCCUGCAGGAAACAGCCUCGAGAGAGGCUCUCGGGAAGCUCCAGCACAUAUCUCUGGUGGCCUCUCUUCCCAGGGCUCACAGGCUGCCACCCUGUUCUGCUACCCACAACACCUUGGGCUCACACCCCCUGAGGACCCACUAUCCACAGCAAGGCUCAACCGCAGCUCCAGUGCCCCACUUCAUGCUGCAGUGCGAAAGUCCUAACUGGAGCCCUGGGUACAUCUGGAUCAAGUUAAUUACAAAACAAGACAUACAUGGGAAUAGCCAAGCAGUCCCACUGAAAGCACAGGCAAGAAGCCGUUCAUCCCAACAGUUGUGACUGCGCCCAGACUCCUAUGUUCCUGCUGGGAGUCUGAGCACAUCCUGUCGAACAUGUCUGCAAAAACAACCCUUGUUAUGCUAAUCUCAGCCCUGUUUAUGAUGGUAAAACUUCUUGGGAGCAAGCCAAAUGUCAAGAUUGGGGGAUUCAUUAAAUAAACCAUGGUGCUAUCCAUACAAUAGGAAACUACAUACCCACUAAAAAUAACAUCAAGGAAGAAUAUUAAUAGACAUAGAAGCUGAGUGGGUAUAUUGCUAAGAUUUAAAGGCAUCUCACAAACAGUGUUAACAGUUGUUCUGAGUGUUAGGAUUAUACAGGUGAUUAUCACAUUCUUCUGCUGAUUUGUCGGUACUUUGUGCAAUGAUUCUGCUGUGUGCUGUGCUUCGUUGUUCAAUCAUGUCCGACUCUUCGCAACCACAUGGACUGUGGCCAGGCUCCUCUGUCCAUGGGGAUGCUCCAGGCAAGAAUACUGGAGCAGGUUGCCAUGCUCUCCUCCAGGGGAUCUUCCCAACCCAGGGACUAUGGAAUAUUAAUUUUAUUUAUUAAAGACACACAGCUUUAUACUGUUAAAUAUGCAGGAACAAAGCACAGACAGGAAGUGUAGAAAUGCUACAAUAGCAAUUUCACUUAAACACUAACAGCAAGAAGUAGAAAAGACAUACAGUUAUGACCCCUCUAGAGAAAAUGCAAGGACUAGGAUUUUGAGUACCAAAGAACACAAAAUAUAUGAUGAGUUUAAGUCUUUAUUAUCACUGGUAUUUAAAUAGAGUUAUUUCUAAACAUUAGAAAUGAAUCUUGUAGAACCAUCCCCUACUUAAAACCACCAAUGCUUUUCGAUUUUGGCCUAAAUCUUCUAUAAUCCCAAUUGUAUUUGAUUCAUAAAUGUGGAUGUAUCUAUCUCUAGUAACUAAACAAGGAACAAGAUGGAGACCACUUGUUACACCUACACUCUUGUCUCGAAAAUCAGUGCCUCAAAUUAGACCUCAUUUGCGUGCAGUACUUCAUGUUGUAUACAGAGGGGCAAUGUACCUUAAAUGGGGUCUUGGAGGCAUUAUUAAGCAUUGCAGGACUGAUCAUAGGAAAUACACUUCUAGCUCUAGAUUGAAAUUCUUGGAAAACCGAGCCCCAGUCACUCUGUUCUCUUAACAGUGCAGAGGUCACUAUCUGAGCUGUUUCCAGAACCCCUGGCUUAGCAUUACAUUAUCCUGUGAGAGUAAAAGCAAACCUCAGAGACACUAAAGUUUGGUUGGAGACCACCACAGUGAAGCAGAUAUCUCAAUAAAGCAUGUCACAUGAGUCUUCCGGUGUGAUACUAUAAUAAUUACCAAAAUGACACACAGACACCAAAUGAGCAAAUGCUCUUAGGAAAAAAAUGGCACCAAGAGAUUCAUCAGACUCAGAGUUGCCACAAAACUUUCAUUUAAAGAAAAAGCAAACAAAAUGCGGUAUCUGCAAAGCACGACACAAUUCAGUUC